UACGGAGGGUGCAAGCGUUAUCCGGAUUCACUGGGCUUAAAGGGUGCGUAGGCGGGUUGAUAAGUCAGUGGUGAAAUCCCCGAGCUUAACUUGGGAACUGCCAUUGAUACUAUUGAUCUUGAAUACCGUGGAGGUCAGCGGAAUAUGUCAUGUAGCGGUGAAAUGCUUAGAUAUGACAUAGAACACCAAUUGCGAAGGCAGCUGGCUACGCGAAUAUUGACACUGAUGCACGAAAGCGUGGGGAUCAAACAGG
Molecule: ribosomal RNA, 253 nt
Filed under: uncultured bacterium
Lineage: Bacteria
Description: partial 16S ribosomal RNA
Rfam family: Bacterial small subunit ribosomal RNA
Source: RNAcentral